RNAcentral lists this unclassified non-coding RNA (337 nucleotides) under soil metagenome. RNAcentral describes it as "partial contains 5.8S ribosomal RNA, internal transcribed spacer 2, and large subunit ribosomal RNA". The stretch from base 1 to 120 matches the Rfam family "5.8S ribosomal RNA", at positions 35 to 154 of the family's 154-position model. The record is from RNAcentral.
GAUGAAGAACGUAGCGAAAUGCGAUAAGUAGUGUGAAUUGCAGAAUUCAGUGAAUCAUCGAAUCUUUGAACGCACAUUGCGCCCCUUGGUAUUCCAUGGGGCAUGCCUGUUCGAGCGUCAUUUGUACCCUCAAGCUCUGCUUGGUGUUGGGUGUUUGUCCACUCCCUGGUGUCUGGACUCGCCUUAAAGCAAUUGGCAGCCAGUGUUUUGGUAUUGAAGCGCAGCACAUUUUGCGUCUCCAGCCUAGAACGCUUGCGUCCAGUAAGCCUUUUUCCACUUUUGACCUCGGAUCAGGUAGGGAUACCCGCUGAACUUAAGCAUAUCAAUAAGCGGAGGA